This 443-nucleotide ribosomal RNA is filed under the name uncultured bacterium. RNAcentral's name for it is "bacterial SSU rRNA". It matches the Rfam family "Bacterial small subunit ribosomal RNA", at positions 339 to 796 of the family's 1533-position model. The record is from RNAcentral.
CUACGGGAGGCAGCAGUGGGGAAUUUUCCGCAAUGGGCGAAAGCCUGACGGAGCGACGCCGCGUGGAGGAAGAAGUUUUUCGGAAUGUAAACUCCUUUUGUCAGGGACGAAAAAAAUGACGGUACCUGAAGAAUAAGCAUCGGCUAACUACGUGCCAGCAGCCGCGGUAAUACGUAGGAUGCAAGCGUUGUUCGGAAUUACUGGGCGUAAAGCGUAUGUAGGCGGUUAUGUAAGUCUUUUAUUAAAGACCGAGGCUCAACCUCGGGAGUGUAAAGGAAACUGUAUAACUAGAGGUCAGAAGGGGAAAUCGGAAUUCUUAGUGUAGCGGUGAAAUGCGUAGAUAUUAGGAAGAACACCGGUGGCGAAAGCGGAUUUCUGGUCUGAAACUGACGCUGAGAUACGAAGGUGUGGGGAGCAAACGGGAUUAGAAACCCCGGUAGUCC